This 3330-nucleotide long non-coding RNA is filed under the name Sus scrofa (pig). Its description in RNAcentral is "lncRNA (ENSSSCG00040036239.1)". The record is from RNAcentral. Lineage: Eukaryota; Metazoa; Chordata; Mammalia; Artiodactyla; Suidae.
UUUUUUGUUUUUGUUUUUUUCUUUUACGUUUUAUGACAUAAAGCAGUCCUGGUGUACACAGGCAUACAUACACAGCUGAGCACAAGGGAAAUGCCUUCCUUGAGCUCUCUGCUCUCUUCUGCCUCCAAGGGAAGAUUCCAGGUUUUCCAGCAUCUCCGGGCUUUUAUGUGCAGGGUUAGGAGAAGGCAUAGAAAGGCAUAAAGCCUUGCUAAGAGCCAGACUGGAUCAAUCCAUUAACUGGAUUUGCAAAGCAACCAAAGGUCACUCGUAGAUUAAUGGUCUGAGAUUGAAGAUGGGUCUGGUUAUAAACCAAGAGCGAGGGGUUGAGAGAGACAGAUACAGAAACACACAGAGGCUAGCGGUGUUGAAAAUAAAGUUACUACUGGAAGAAUUUAAGAUGGUGACUUGAGGUUAACAACUGGAUCAUUGCGAUAGGGUGUCAAAAGAUCCCAUGAACAUUAGACUUUAGCACUGUAUUUUUUGGAAAUGGCUUAGUUAUUAUGCAGCACAAUUAUGUCUGUGUGACACACAACUUAGGGCGGUCUAUUUUCUUUACGUACCAUCGAUAAUUCUAGAUGUCAUGACAUACCUCCUGACAGUGCAGAGAACCUCAACAGCCAUCUGAGUAGCAGUAUGUUUGAAUAAAACACUAGUUCAGAUACAUAAAAGUUUUUUCUACACAAAGAUGAUUUUCAAGGAGCAGAAUUUAAUGAAAUAAAAUUUCACAAUUAGAUAGAUCCCCUGAAACCAUUUGGACUUGAAUGUCAAAAUCGCAUCUAAACUUCAACCUUCUUUAAUUUUACUUGUCAUGUGGUUAGCUAAAAGGAUUUUGGUCCAAAUAAUUUCAUUAAUUUUUCACAUGGCUACAAAUGACUAACUAGGUCACUCCUGCCCAUACCUUGUCAAACUUUUUGUAAUGCUGUCAUCUUUAGAGUUUUAUGCUCAGAUCUUCAAUAUCUCAUAAAGAAGGUGAUUGAAAUAUUUUGGCAGUGAAAUGCUGAAAAAGAAAGGCAGCUUCACAAUAAAUUAUUUUAGAACAAGUUAUCCUAAUGAUUGUCUUUAAGCCUUAAAACAGCUUGCUUAUAUGCAAAGUAGCUUAUCAAAUUUAGAUUUUGAAUUGUAUUCAGAUUACGUACCUGCAGAACACUAACAAAUUUCAUGAAAAUUUUCAUAACACAAAUUUUAGCUAUUGAAUACAUUUUUACAUCAUAGCAGGACUUAAAAUAUAUUUAUUUAUUUUGCUUGUAUUAGUUUUCCGUUGCUACUGUGUAACACAUGACCACAAAUGUAGUGACUUAAAUCAACACAAAUUUAUUAUCUUAUAGUUCUCUGUAAAGGAAAUUCAGCAUGGGUCUUUCUGGGCUCAAAUCAAAGUGGUAGCAGGACUGUGUUCCCAUCUGGAGGCUCAAGGGAAGAACCCAUUUCCUUGCCUUUCUAAGCUUUUCGGGGCCACCUACCCCCCUUGCCUCCUGGUCCCCUUCCUCCAUCUUCAGAGCCAGCUGUAGUGGGUUGAGUCCUCCACACGCAACUAGCCUUCAAAUAUUCUUGCAAUAUCCAAAAUUUGAACCACAUUUUUUUUGUCCAAGAAAAUGCCGCUGUAAACAAUUGCCUCAUUUGUUUUUUUAACCAGAUUAUUACAUAUUCAAUAAUAUUUAUGAAUAACUGUGACAUCUCAUUUAUUAAUUUAGAAGCCCUCAUUCUUUUGUUUCUGUUAUAAAACACAUGGUUUUUAAGCUGUUUCCUCUUAUAAUUCAAUUAUUAUGUUGCAAAAGAUUGUUACUUACAGUCAGAAAAGAUAAGUAAGCCACACAAAGGCAUUUAGAUAGGCAUUAAAAGUUUUGUAAAUAUAAUUAAAGUUAAAUAGAGAAUUUUGAAUACUUGCUUACUUAAGUGUUUCCCAACAUUUUAUGACUUUAAAAUAGUUCCUCUUGUAUUAUUGCACUGCUCCAUGAGAUAAGACAGAAAUUUGAAUGUUUAUAAAUGAUUAGACUGAAGAGCUAAAAGAAGGAUCUAUGAGACUAGAAUGCCAAGCAAGGGAUCAAGGGAAACAGAGUGGAACAAAACUGGGAAUGUACUCAGAGUAUAGUUUCCCUGGCUAGAAAGAGCUAAUUAGCUCUGACUUAGUGUAGAGCCAGGCCUAAGGGGAUUUAGCAGUACAUUUAUGCAUCAGAAAUUAUGAAAAAGGAAAUGUAUCUGUCAAAAGAGAAAGCUUUGGGAAUUCCUAUCUUGGCACAGUGGAAAUUAAUCCGACUAGGAACCAGGAGGUUGUGGGUUCGAUCCCUGGCCUUACUCAGCGGAUUAAGGAUCUGGUGUUGCCAUGAGCUGUGAAGUAGGUCGCAGACUUGGCUGGGAUGCUGCGUUGCUGUGGCUGUGACGUAGGUCGGCGGCUACAGCUCCAAUUAGGCCCCUAGCCUGGGAACCUCCAUAUGCCAUGGGUGCGGCCCUAGAAAAAAAAGAGAGAGAGAAAGCUUUACUAAAAGCGAAAGAAAAGAAAACAGGAACAAAAAGAAAAGAAAAAGAAAAAGGAGAGAAAAAAGGAACAAAAAGAAAAAGAAGAGAAAAGGAAGAAACUGUAGUCCUAUAUAUAUGUUCCAAAUAAAAAAGUAGUUAUCAGUUGAGAGUGUAAUGUUGCAAAGUCUGAUUAAAUAGAAUGCAUUUUUAUCGCAGCUCUGGUAAAUUAGGCGUGGUGUGUGUCUUAUUUCAAAGCACAAGGUUUGUUAUUACAGAGAUAUACUCCUGCUGCUUUGCUUAUCAAACUAGAAAAUCUAUCAUGCAGAGUCCAUUUUUCAAUCAAGUCUAAAUCCUUUCUGUUACAUCACCAGCCACGUCCAGGUUAAUGCAAUUCCUCUAGGCAAAGGUACCAGGUUAGAAAUACAGAACACAAAGCAGAAAGAAAUAGCCUUGUAACAAAUAUGUACUCCUGGGCACAAAAGAUGCUUAGCGAAGUUUAUUCAUAUAGGCCGAAAACUUCAAAGCACAAAUGCUUCUAAGAACAAUUCUUGAAUAAAAAUUAAAUUAGGCAAUUUAACAUUUGAUUUUAAACCAUUUCCCAAGCUUUGCAAGUCCUCGUAUUAUGUUUAUAUGUCAGCACAGAAUUGACUUUUAUUCACUAUUUUACAUACCCAUAUUUUGAUGAGCUGUUAUUUGGCAUUUUGAAGUGUCAUGUUUUAAUUUUUUUUUUUUUUUUUUUUUAGGGCCUCGCCCACAGCAUAUGGAGGUUCCCAUGCUAGGGAUUGAUUUGGAGCCGCAGCCACCGGCCUACACCACAGCCAUAGCAACGCUAGAUACAAACCACAUCUGUGACCUAGGCUGAAGCUGGAUCCUUAACCC